Molecule: ribosomal RNA, 442 nt
Filed under: uncultured Acinetobacter sp.
Lineage: Bacteria; Pseudomonadati; Pseudomonadota; Gammaproteobacteria; Moraxellales; Moraxellaceae
Description: bacterial SSU rRNA
Rfam family: Bacterial small subunit ribosomal RNA
Source: RNAcentral
CAGCAGUGGGGAAUAUUGGACAAUGGGCGCAAGCCUGAUCCAGCCAUGCCGCGUGUGUGAAGAAGGCCUUUUGGUUGUAAAGCACUUUAAGCGAGGAGGAGGCUACCGAGAUUAAUACUCUUGGAUAGUGGACGUUACUCGCAGAAUAAGCACCGGCUAACUCUGUGCCAGCAGCCGCGGUAAUACAGAGGGUGCGAGCGUUAAUCGGAUUUACUGGGCGUAAAGCGUGCGUAGGCGGCUUUUUAAGUCGGAUGUGAAAUCCCUGAGCUUAACUUAGGAAUUGCAUUCGAUACUGGAAAGCUAGAGUAUGGGAGAGGAUGGUAGAAUUCCAGGUGUAGCGGUGAAAUGCGUAGAGAUCUGGAGGAAUACCGAUGGCGAAGGCAGCCAUCUGGCCUAAUACUGACGCUGAGGUACGAAAGCAUGGGGAGCAAACAGGAUUAGA